Long non-coding RNA from Triticum urartu, 1981 nucleotides. RefSeq lists it as uncharacterized. Lineage: Eukaryota; Viridiplantae; Streptophyta; Magnoliopsida; Poales; Poaceae. The record is from RefSeq and is a predicted model, not a curated record.
CGAUUCCAUGAAAGGUUCCUGAUUUUUUUUCCUUCUUUGUCUUCUGCUAGCAUCGGCUGCUACCCCUGCCAUGUUUGGGCAUGAACGCAGCCCGUGGGUGCCGGUUCAUUCUUUCGAGCGCAUCUUUUCUUUCUCUCGCUCUCCUUCGAAUCCAACCAUGGCCGCCCCUCCUUCCAUUACUCACCAUCACCCAUGGCUUAGCAAAAAAGAGAAAUUAGGCGUGGCAGGAAGCGAGGCAGCAGCGUCCAUGUCCCUCCCUUGGCCGAAAAGACCCUAAGCCCCCAGCGCAUCGCCGCCGGGCCCCUCUGCAGCACCGUCUCCGGCAUCUUGCCAAAGGGUGUGUAGACCUUGCCGGAUCCGCCCUGCCGCCGCGGAUCCAGUAUGAGUUCCCUACUCCGAGAACCCCGCGUCUAUUAGUUCUCCGUUAGUUGAUUUGGCUUGAGAAACUGCUUUUCCUGGGUUGAGAUUUGGUCUCCUUGACUGAAUCGGAGCUGGUGUGUAUCUACUUCUUUGGCAGUUUAUUGUGUCGUUUGAUGAUAGGUCUACUCUAUAUGCCAUCUUAAAUCUUGAUACAGGUGAGUUGCUUCUGCUUCAAACUAGCUUUUCAUCCCUUCUAUUUGAAAACACUAUUUGUGUGUACUACUUCUGAAUCUGAAUUUGAGAACACUAAAUGGCAUAUGCUUCUUUUUUGCGAAAAAAUGGCAUAUGCUUCAGAAUUCGCACCAGUGACACAAGGCGAGCAAUUCUGUACACCUCUUUAUUGGAACGAGUGGUCCUCCCCCUUUGUUAGCUAGUAGUACUACGUUUUUUUUUUGGCAAAAUGUCCCAAAUUGUGGAGUUAGAGUUGGGAUGAUGCCGUACGAACUCGUUCGGUAAUUAGCUAGUGUCUCAAGUGAAUUUUUUGCACAAGAAUUUGAUGUUAUGUAUAUGGUGAAUUACUUUUGACAUAAUUCCUGUGUUUUAGUAUCACUACCUUGACCAAAAAGUUAUGGGAUUUAAACCAUUCCACAGUAGAGGAAAACAAGAUAAUCAUUAUGUUAGCAAAUCCAAGUUUUAAGCCUGUGCAUCAUUUUCACUUGGACGAACAAAGGUGAAUACAAAAUAAAGUUUUUUACUCAUGAGUAGUGGAAAGCUUGUUCGGAUGCUAAAUGAAAUAACUGUUUUUCCCUUCAGAUGGAUGAUCAAAGGUGAACAUUGGUGACUAAAUUAUUCUUGGUUUGAGAUUUUGAGAAAUCUGGCUUCCACUGGUUAUGUUCAAUUCUUAUGACCGCAUAAGGCUCAAAGCUACCUGUUCUGCAUACCGUCGUUGAUGGUGGAGGUUGAGCCCUCCCGCGUGCUAACGAUGCUGUUGCCUCUGUCCCGGCUCCUCUUCUUCGGUAUGCAGACCUCUCUUCGUGGUGUCGUGGUGAGAUGGCGUGAGAAGCUUCAAGACCAUGGUGGCGUAUGGCGGUGGUCGGUUUUGGUGGCGGGCUUCGAAGCGCCAGAGGUGAAGGUCAGGAUCGGGAGAAAUGCCUGUCGGCCUGGCCGACACCGACGCGGUGGCGCCUGAGGGUGCUGCCGGACCUUCCUGAAGGGCGUCGGGGCUACCCUUCUUUUUUCCUCGCCGUGUUACCGGGGAAAACCCUUGGCGGCAGCGUCGGCAUCGUCGCGUCCCUUCUUGGAGGUGUUGAUUGGUACCGGCGCUUCGGAGUCUAGGAGCUUGGUAGGAGAUCUCCGGUGGGCGCAAUGGUCGCGAGGCUUCUUCGUGUUUUUGUCGAUCCGUUGUUGUCGACAUUUGUUUUUUUGUAUUUUCUCUCUCGUUUCUUUUGGGCAUGUCUGUGUUGCUUCCGCCCCAGCACCUAUCGUUGGCUGUAUCGGUUGGUUGCUUUGUAAUAUAAAGUGGGGGAAACCCUUUUUCGUAAAACAAUUAAUAGGGUCUCCAGCUUCUAUGGAGGCUAAAUUUUAAUGUUAGGUGAGCGCAAAACAUACAUCAUUUGCCUCA